UUAAAUUGAAGAGUUUGAUCAUGGCUCAGAUUGAACGCUGGCGGCAGGCCUAACACAUGCAAGUCGAACGGUAACAGAAAGCAGCUUGCUGCUUUGCUGACGAGUGGCGGACGGGUGAGUAAUGUCUGGGAAACUGCCUGAUGGAGGGGGAUAACUACUGGAAACGGUAGCUAAUACCGCAUAACGUCGCAAGACCAAAGAGGGGGACCUUCGGGCCUCUUGCCAUCGGAUGUGCCCAGAUGGGAUUAGCUAGUAGGUGGGGUAAAGGCUCACCUAGGCGACGAUCCCUAGCUGGUCUGAGAGGAUGACCAGCCACACUGGAACUGAGACACGGUCCAGACUCCUACGGGAGGCAGCAGUGGGGAAUAUUGCACAAUGGGCGCAAGCCUGAUGCAGCCAUGCCGCGUGUAUGAAGAAGGCCUUCGGGUUGUAAAGUACUUUCAGCGGGGAGGAAGGGAGUAAAGUUAAUACCUUUGCUCAUUGACGUUACCCGCAGAAGAAGCACCGGCUAACUCCGUGCCAGCAGCCGCGGUAAUACGGAGGGUGCAAGCGUUAAUCGGAAUUACUGGGCGUAAAGCGCACGCAGGCGGUUUGUUAAGUCAGAUGUGAAAUCCCCGGGCUCAACCUGGGAACUGCAUCUGAUACUGGCAAGCUUGAGUCUCGUAGAGGGGGGUAGAAUUCCAGGUGUAGCGGUGAAAUGCGUAGAGAUCUGGAGGAAUACCGGUGGCGAAGGCGGCCCCCUGGACGAAGACUGACGCUCAGGUGCGAAAGCGUGGGGAGCAAACAGGAUUAGAUACCCUGGUAGUCCACGCCGUAAACGAUGUCGACUUGGAGGUUGUGCCCUUGAGGCGUGGCUUCCGGAGCUAACGCGUUAAGUCGACCGCCUGGGGAGUACGGCCGCAAGGUUAAAACUCAAAUGAAUUGACGGGGGCCCGCACAAGCGGUGGAGCAUGUGGUUUAAUUCGAUGCAACGCGAAGAACCUUACCUGGUCUUGACAUCCACGGAAGUUUUCAGAGAUGAGAAUGUGCCUUCGGGAACCGUGAGACAGGUGCUGCAUGGCUGUCGUCAGCUCGUGUUGUGAAAUGUUGGGUUAAGUCCCGCAACGAGCGCAACCCUUAUCCUUUGUUGCCAGCGGUCCGGCCGGGAACUCAAAGGAGACUGCCAGUGAUAAACUGGAGGAAGGUGGGGAUGACGUCAAGUCAUCAUGGCCCUUACGACCAGGGCUACACACGUGCUACAAUGGCGCAUACAAAGAGAAGCGAUCUCGCGAGAGCAAGCGGACCUCAUAAAGUGCGUCGUAGUCCGGAUUGGAGUCUGCAACUCGACUCCAUGAAGUCGGAAUCGCUAGUAAUCGUGGAUCAGAAUGCCACGGUGAAUACGUUCCCGGGCCUUGUACACACCGCCCGUCACACCAUGGGAGUGGGUUGCAAAAGAAGUAGGUAGCUUAACCUUCGGGAGGGCGCUUACCACUUUGUGAUUCAUGACUGGGGUGAAGUCGUAACAAGGUAACCGUAGGGGAACCUGCGGUUGGAUCACCUCCUUACCUUAAAGAAGC
This 1556-nucleotide ribosomal RNA is filed under the name Escherichia coli. RNAcentral's name for it is "bacterial SSU rRNA". It matches the Rfam family "Bacterial small subunit ribosomal RNA". Lineage: Bacteria; Pseudomonadati; Pseudomonadota; Gammaproteobacteria; Enterobacterales; Enterobacteriaceae. The record is from RNAcentral.